GGGUCCAGACUUUGAUUCUGGCUCAGGACGAACGCUGGCGGCGUGCUUAACACACGCAAGUCGAACGAGAGGAGAAGGAAGCUUGCUUCUUUCAAAUCUAGUGGCAAACGGGUGAGUAACACGUAAACAACCUGCCUUCAGGAUGGGGACAACAGACGGAAACGACUGCUAAUACCGAAUACGUUCCUUAGGUCGCAUGACCCAAGGAAGAAAGGGUGGCCUCUACUUGUAAGCUAUCGCCUGAAGAGGGGUUUGCGUCUGAUUAGGUAGUUGGUGAGGUAACGGCCCACCAAGCCGACGAUCAGUAGCCGGUCUGAGAGGAUGAACGGCCACACUGGAACUGAGACACGGUCCAGACUCCUACGGGAGGCAGCAGUGGGGAAUCUUCCGCAAUGGGCGAAAGCCUGACGGAGCAACGCCGCGUGAGUGAUGACGGCCUUCGGGUUGUAAAGCUCUGUGAUCGGGGACGAACGGUCAGCAGACGAAUACUCUGCUGAAGUGACGGUACCCGAAUAGCAAGCCACGGCUAACUACGUGCCAGCAGCCGCGGUAAUACGUAGGUGGCAAGCGUUGUCCGGAAUUAUUGGGCGUAAAGCGCGCGCAGGCGGCUUCUUAAGUCCAUCUUAAAAGUGCGGGGCUUAACCCCGUGAUGGGAUGGAAACUGAGAGGCUGGAGUAUCGGAGAGGAAAGUGGAAUUCCUAGUGUAGCGGUGAAAUGCGUAGAGAUUAGGAAGAACACCGGUGGCGAA
This 748-nucleotide ribosomal RNA is filed under the name uncultured Bacillota bacterium. RNAcentral describes it as "bacterial SSU rRNA". It matches the Rfam family "Bacterial small subunit ribosomal RNA", at positions 1 to 719 of the family's 1533-position model. The record is from RNAcentral. Lineage: Bacteria; Bacillati; Bacillota.